AUUGAACGCUGGCGGCAGGCCUAACACAUGCAAGUCGAGCGGUAGCACAGAGAGCUUGCUCUCGGGUGACGAGCGGCGGACGGGUGAGUAAUGUCUGGGAAACUGCCCGAUGGAGGGGGAUAACUACUGGAAACGGUAGCUAAUACCGCAUAACGUCGCAAGACCAAAGAGGGGGACCUUCGGUCCUCUUGCCAUCGGAUGUGCCCAGAUGGGAUUAGCUAGUAGGUGGGGUAACGGCUCACCUAGGCGACGAUCCCUAGCUGGUCUGAGAUGAUGACCAGCCACACUGGAACUGAGACACGGUCCAGACUCCUACGGGAGGCAGCAGUGGGGAAUAUUGCACAAUGGGCGCAAGCCUGAUGCAGCCAUGCCGCGUGUAUGAAGAAGGCCUUCGGGUUGUAAAGUACUUUCAGCGGGGAGGAAGGUGUUGAGGUUAAUAACCUCAGCAAUUGACGUUACCCGCAGAAGAAGCACCGGCUAACUCCGUGCCAGCCGCCGCCGUAA
Molecule: ribosomal RNA, 504 nt
Filed under: uncultured bacterium
Lineage: Bacteria
Description: partial 16S ribosomal RNA
Rfam family: Bacterial small subunit ribosomal RNA
Source: RNAcentral